RNAcentral lists this unclassified non-coding RNA (169 nucleotides) under soil metagenome. RNAcentral's name for it is "partial internal transcribed spacer 1". The record is from RNAcentral.
CCAUAAAGUAUGAAGCUGUACGCGCUGUUCUCUCGGCCAUUUGCGGCUUAUUAUUGAGUACCCUAUGUCUUUGCGCCUUGUGGGUUGCCUGCGGGUUCGCCGCCACCAGACCACAUCAUAACCUUUUUAUGCAUUUCAAUCAGCGUCUGGAUAUACAAUUAAUCAUUUA